GUGCUGGCUUAGGUAGCACAUAGACUAAAAUUGGGACAAUACAGAGCAGAUUGGCAUGGCCACUGCAUAAGGAUGACAUGCAAUUUUGUUAAGCUUUACACACACAC
Molecule: small nuclear RNA, 107 nt
Organism: Echinops telfairi (small Madagascar hedgehog)
Lineage: Eukaryota; Metazoa; Chordata; Mammalia; Afrosoricida; Tenrecidae
Source: RefSeq, a predicted model, not a curated record